CUUCGAAACCGCAUGAGGGGCUUAAGUGCCACGAAAAAGGGUUAAAAUAGCGAAACGCAAGUCAGGUUAGCAAUCCACUCACCAUUCUGGCAACACUCGCUAGCUAGCUUACACUAGCUGGAUCCAGUCAGGCUGGGACUCCGUUGAUUGCUAGCAAGCUAAUAAUAACACGCUAGCUACCAUUGCUAACCUAACAAAGAGCAUAUUUCUAGACUAGGUUUUAACUAGUUGACUAGCUAAGCCAGAUAUCCAGUUAGAUUGUUUUGCCACAAGUUAUGACGUGGAAUUGUGCCAAAUGUUUAAUUGACCAUAAAAGUGGUUGUAUUUGCUUGAUACCUAACGGGACAGUUUACUAAUAAAGUUAACAAACCACUAGGAAUGUGUCCCAUGCGACCUCUCAUCUGCUCGGUCUCCGCGGAACGGGAAACCAAAAAUGUCUGCACGUGUUCCGCACCCCGCACAGGAAGCUAGCUGAUAGUGUGUGUGCCUUACUCUAACGAGGUGUGUGUGCCUUACUCUAACGAGGUGUGUGUGCCUUACUCUAACGAGGGGUGAGUCCCAAAUGGUGUUAUUUGGAGUGUAGUAACUCGUGUGUUUGUGAGAUAUGUGUUGGCUUUCUGUAAGGUUCCACGUGUUGAGCUGUAAGAGUCAGACAUUUUAGACACAUUGAGAAAGAACACUUUCAGUGUCAACAAUGGAGAGAGUAGUCGAAUGUCUUGCUUUGCAUGGAUCGGCCUUUUUUAGUUGGCUAUGUGUAGUUAGUUACCCUAUACAUUAUUCUGUCAGUGCCGGCUUGCUCACACAAAGAGCCCAUCAAUUUCACCAUGACUUGGACGUUUCCAUUGCCGCAAUGAAUGAUAAAACAGAUCGUCCCAUCUAACAACUUUGGAUACCUCGUGGUGUCCCAAAUGAUACCCAAUUCACUACAUAGUACACUAGGUGGCCUGGUCAAACGUGGCGUCACUGUACAGGGAAAGGGUUCCAGGUGGGACAGAUGUCUUUUUCUUUUUAAUGCCUUUAUUUGGGAGACGUGAUCUGUUUUGGAUCAACAGUAAAACACAGACCAGAAAUGGUCAUGCCGAAUUUGGACUUCUUCCUGUAAUUAGUGUUUUUUUGUUCUUCAUUCCUGUGGUAGUGUUCAAAUCCUUGUUUGCGUCUGAGGUUGAGCUAUAAACAUCUUUCAUCUUUAAAAAGCCUUAUGAAAUGGUGUCUGUAAAGCUGAGGGGGCGGUCCAGGGGACAGACGGG
Molecule: long non-coding RNA, 1247 nt
Organism: Oncorhynchus tshawytscha (Chinook salmon)
Lineage: Eukaryota; Metazoa; Chordata; Actinopteri; Salmoniformes; Salmonidae
Source: Ensembl